UGUUGUCUGAUUCGCAAGCCACCAAUUCAAACAACCAUACAGGCACCUUGAUCAUUCAAUUUCUAGCCACAUAUUCUACCUAUACUUUAUUAUAAAAACCUCCACCCAACCAUUUUAAUCAGAUUUUUGCACAUACAAGCUCAAGAACAAAGAUUUUGGUACUAUACCCAGAAAGUCAGCGCAAAUGGAUCUCGGAAUCUAGGCCUAACGAGUAAUACGCGGAAAGGUGUGGAUUAGCAUACUUUGAUAGCCUAGUACUUGUGCAACCUGUAACCAGGACACUACGUGACGACCCCCUUUGUGUUAGCUGCUUGUGAAGUUUAUGUGCGAUACUAUGUGGAUCUGCUACUUUGCUAAAUAAAACGGUUCAUGGAAACUCGCGUAGUAUCUAGCUAAAAUAUGUAACAGUAAUGUGUAAUAGCGAUACGUAAAACAAUGAUGUAUCAUAUUGUUUAAUUAAUGUUUAAUAGAGUAUCUUUAUAACAA
Helianthus annuus (common sunflower) is the source of this 486-nucleotide long non-coding RNA. RefSeq lists it as uncharacterized. Lineage: Eukaryota; Viridiplantae; Streptophyta; Magnoliopsida; Asterales; Asteraceae. The transcript is spliced from 4 exons. The record is from RefSeq and is a predicted model, not a curated record.